GGACUACUGGGGUAUCUAAUCCUGUUUGCUACCCACGCUUUCGCCUCUCAGCGUCAAUACUGGCCCAGAGUGCCGCCUUCGCCACCGGUGUUCCUCCUGAUAUCUAUGCAUUUCACCGCUACACCAGGAAUUCCGCACUCCCCUACCAGAUUCAAGCCAUGACAGUAUCGGGUGGCGUCUCCGGGUUGAGCCCGGAGUUUUCACACCCGACUUAUCAAGCCGCCUACAGGCUCUUUACGCCCAAUAAAUCCGGACAACGCUUGGACCCUACGUAUUACCGCGGCUGCUGGCAC
RNAcentral lists this ribosomal RNA (293 nucleotides) under uncultured bacterium. RNAcentral's name for it is "partial 16S ribosomal RNA". The record is from RNAcentral.